This 1092-nucleotide ribosomal RNA is filed under the name uncultured bacterium. RNAcentral's name for it is "bacterial SSU rRNA". It matches the Rfam family "Bacterial small subunit ribosomal RNA", at positions 338 to 1397 of the family's 1533-position model. The record is from RNAcentral.
CCUACGGGAGGCAGCAGUGGGGAAUAUUGGACAAUGGGCGAAAGCCUGAUCCAGCAAUACCGCGUGUGUGAAGAAGGCCUUAGGGUUGUAAAGCACUUUCAAUAGGGAGGAAAAAGGUAAGCUUAAUACGCUUGCCCUUGACAUUACCUAUACAAGAAGCACCGGCUAACUCCGUGCCAGCAGCCGCGGUAAUACGGAGGGUGCAAGCGUUAAUCGGAAUUACUGGGCGUAAAGCGUGCGUAGGCGGCUUGUUAAGUCAGAUGUGAAAGCCCCGGGCUUAACCUGAGAACUGCAUUUGAAACUGGCAAGCUAGAGUUGAGUAGAGGGGAGUGGAAUUUCAGGUGUAGCGGUGAAAUGCGUAGAUAUCUGAAGGAACACCAGUGGCGAAGGCGACUCCCUGGACUCAAACUGACGCUGAGGCACGAAAGCGUGGGUAGCAAACAGGAUUAGAUACCCUGGUAGUCCACGCCGUAAACGAUGUUGACUAGCCGUUGGGGCCUUUUAGGGGUUUAGUGGCGCAGCUUACGCAUUUAAGUCGACCCGCCUGGGGAGUACGGCCGCAAGGUUAAGAUUCAAAGGAAUUGACGGGGGGCCCGCACAAGCGGUGGAGCAUGUUGUUUAAUUUCGACCAGACGCGAAAGAACCUUUACCUACCCCUUGACAUGUCCCGGACGACUUUCCAGAGAUGGAUUUCUCCCCAGCAAUGGGCCCGGAACACAGGUGCUGCAUGGCCUGUCGUCAGCUCGUGUCGUGAGAUGUUGGGGUUAAGUCCCGUAAACGAGCGCAACCCCUUGUCCUUAGUUGCCCAGCGCGUAAUGGCGGGGAACUCUAGGGGAGACUGCCGGUGAUAAACCCGGAGGGAAGGUGGGGGACGACGUCAAAGUCAUCAUGGCCCUUAUGGGUAGGGCUACACACGUGCUACAAUGGCCCGGUACAGAGGGCUGCGAACUUGCGAAAGUAUGCUAAUCCCAGAAAGCCGGUCCCAGUCCGGAUUGGAGUCUGCAACUCGACCCCAUGAAGUCGGAAUCGCUAGUAAUCGCGAAUCAGAAUGUCGCGGUGAAUACGUUCCCGGGCCUUGUACACACCGCCCGU